Molecule: long non-coding RNA, 1677 nt
Organism: Ictalurus punctatus (channel catfish)
Lineage: Eukaryota; Metazoa; Chordata; Actinopteri; Siluriformes; Ictaluridae
Source: Ensembl
AAAAGAAAGAGAGGCUGGUGAUGUUAUGGCUAUUUAUAUCUGCUAUAACUUAAAUGAUAACAAGAACUAGAUUGUUUCAUGGAUGAUCCACAACAUUAAAUACGACUAUAAACAGUUAAAACGUAUGCCGUGUGGUUCUUACUGCAGUAAAUUGAUGGCGCAAGCAUCCAUACAAGAGUGCUGAUAUUUAGUAUAACUGCACUGGCCCAUUUCACCGCUUGUAUAACUCCACUUGUCUGUGUUCUACAUAAAAUUACAAUUCUAGCACCUGUUCAUUAUUAUCGAAACCGUCGCUACACUUAUUCCGUGGCUUCUUUGGAAACUACUGUGUCUGAAAUGUCAGUGACUCGAUAUGAAUCUCUUGGUUAAAGAACUCUUGCAAGAAAACACUCAAUUAUGAUUACCUGCCGCCUCCUGCCUAUACAGCCGAACCGCAGGUGCGUUGAUGUUCACUAAAACAGCACUGUUGUACAUGUGAUACUGGUUAUAAACACAACAAUGUAAUCAUUGGCAAACAGUAGUGGUGUCAGAAGAACAAAAUACUUCAGCAUGGGCUUUUAUAAUAAAAUGACCAACUUCAGGAUGGUCAGCUGAAUCAAACCACCCUACUAGCACAGGGGUUUUUAUUCCUCAUUACAUGUUAGCUUCUCUGCCCAUGUGUGUAUGGUGAUGCAGUCAUAAAAGGGCAUAAAAGUCAUUACAUAUGAAAAAAAGGAAGGAUAAGUGAUAUUAAUAUAGAGCAACUGUAUGCAGUAGGCCAAGGACAGGACAAUGUAGUGUCAUUGUUGGCUUUAAGAGGUUAGCUCAUAUUCUAAACAUUAAACAAGUCGCUUUUAAUCGCUUUAAUUCAUUUGCAACUUUUUUCGUUUCAGCUAAUGCUCAGUUCUCCAUCAGUCUGGGCUUUAAUCAGCUCUCCAACGCGACAGAUGGUUUAUAACUUCAUUUAUUCAUCUUAAGUGCUUUAGCGGAAGCUUCAUGGAGAGCCUUCGAGGAAGAGAAAACACGGCCUAAUAAAGGCGUCCAGGGGAUUGAUGUUUCAAAUAUAAACUUACACUAGUGUUGUAUACGCUAAUAUAAAAACUAAUAUUUGAUAUAUUUGUUAAAUCUUACCGUGGUUGUAGCUGUGUUGGCUAACUAACGUUACUCAUAAAGCUGGCCUGAGCCACAUGAGGAGACAGGAAAGUUACUCUAACUAUGGGCUAGUAACUAGUUAGUCUAUUACUGACUGUUUAGUGAUGGUUUACAUCGAUUCAGCGGGGAUUAUCCCACCAAAAUAUCUCUAGUUAUCUCCAAACAACCACCACGUCGCUGCAUAAUAACAGACAGAGGUCUGACUAGUUAGCUAGCCACCGUUACUUACAAUAAGAAGCUCAUUUCCGUUAACUUUGCUUCGAGCGAAGCUUCCAGACAGCGUGAAGUCGAGGAUUCCCAACAGAAAUUCUUCACCCAAGUCUUGUUUAAGGAUCAAACCGAUGUAAACAACGUAGUCCCAAAGUUUCAAAACUUUAAUCUAAGCGAACAUGAAACCGCGCUGGAACAGGAAGUGUUUACAACCGCCGCAGAGAAAAAGGAAACAGCAAAGACGACAGAGUCCGAUGUUGUUGCCAAAAUCGCACAGUAUGAGCUGCUAGUGCGAGUGCAGUUAGAGCUGUUAGUGCGAGUGCAGUUAGAGCUGCG